UCUGGUUGACCAGCAGAGUGCUAACGGUGGGCCGGUGGCUUGAUUCAUUGUUGUGAAUCAUCUCUGUAGGUCUAAUGAGCGUGUUCAUUUCAACACCUCCUUAGAACAUGAGAGGGAGUCCGGUACAAGGAGGGGGAAGGGAGGGCUAUCUGACUCACGUUGGACACGGAGGAGCCGAAAAAGGUAGCUGAAGGUUUCUCUGUCAACCCCUAUCCCGUCACUAUCGUACCGCUACGAGGAGAUGCGCUCUGACUCACUGUGAAGUAGCCCUCUGAUGCUGCAUUUAAACUGUAUUUUGGAAGUUCAAACUCAGGGGCACCAUAGAAGUCCACUAUAUAGAGAGAAAUCCUGAAAUGUUUUCCUCAAAAAAAGACAUUAACAUCUUGGAUGACAAGGGGCUCUGCUCUGAAUGGAUUCUUACCUCCAAACUAGACUAGACCAUACCUACGAGCUCCAAAACAGACAUGUUUAUUCGCUUUUAAGGAAGUGAACUGAUCACUGAAGUGAACAAUCUAUGGCCAGAGUGCAUUUGUCAGCUAUGAAUUUGACUGCACUGAUGAGACUCAUGUUACUUCAGUAAAUGAUGAAGAAUUAUUUUAUCUGAAUAAUUUAAGCUUCCUGGGAUGAUUUUGACUGGAGAUGGUAAGAGUGUAAUUUUUCAUUUUAUUCCCUGAAGUACUAACAACAAAAUUAUGAACUUUUGUGUGGAUUUUAGGAUAUUUAAAUCUUAUUUAGCCUUCCUCAAACUCUAUGUUAGGGUCUUCCUCUUUUUUUUUUUCCAUUUCUGUUCGUUCAGUCUGCAUCUAAAAAGUCAUCAAGUUUUGAAUCAAUCAAAAAAUUUGUGGAAAAAAAAUAAAAUAAAUAAUAAUAAUUCGAAAAUGGAAAAUAAACAUGCAAGUACAUAAAGGAAUACAUUUGACCUUUUUUGUCAUUUUAUUCCCCUUCAUGUCACUCCAAAUCUGUUAGACUUGCUUUCUUUUCUGUGAAACACAAAAGCAGCUGUUUAGCAGUAUGUUCAGGCUGCUUUUCCCCAUUUAAUAAUAGAUGAGGGCUGGAGUAUCACUAUAAAAUUACCUUAAAGUGGUCCAUAUAAAGUCUGAAGCCAUAAUGUUAAUCUCACUCCUCCUCUAUUUCACCUGAGACUGGAGAGUUACUAUAAAGGAAAGUUUUGCAGUGAAUAACUGUUCAUAUUUGAUUUUCUUGUAACAACUUUUUCUGAAAUGCUGUUUAUAAUCAUACACCCCCUUAGACAAUCCAUCUCAUGAAAAGUUAACUUAAUAAAUGAAUAAAUGAAUACAGUACAUACACUAUUUAUGCAUAUUUAUUUGACACACAUACUUAUUUACAUUUCACUGCAUUUGUACAUAACAUAUCUGUACAUACAAAUACCAUCUAUUGUCUAUUUUUGUAUAUUGUGUAUUUUUUCUUUAAAUAUUUUUUGUAUACUGAUAUUUCCUAUUUACUUUUUAUUCAAUUUUAUUUUUUUAUGCUCUUUAUCUUGUCUUGUCACUGUCAUUCUGUUGUACUGUGGAAGCUUCUGUCGCCAAAAC
Labeo rohita (rohu) is the source of this 1550-nucleotide long non-coding RNA. RefSeq lists it as uncharacterized. The record is from RefSeq and is a predicted model, not a curated record. The transcript is spliced from 3 exons. Lineage: Eukaryota; Metazoa; Chordata; Actinopteri; Cypriniformes; Cyprinidae.